Molecule: ribosomal RNA, 236 nt
Filed under: uncultured bacterium
Lineage: Bacteria
Description: partial 16S ribosomal RNA
Rfam family: Bacterial small subunit ribosomal RNA
Source: RNAcentral
UGGCGGACGGGGUGAGUAAUGUCUGGGAAACUGCCCGAUGAGGGGGAGUAACUACUGGAAACGGUAGCUAAUACCGCAUAACGUCGCAAGACCAAAGAGGGGGACCUUAGGGCCUCUUGCCAUCGGAUGUGCCCAGAUGGGAUUAGCUAGUAGGUGGGGUAAUGGCUCACCUAGGCGACGAUCCCUAGCUGGUCUGAGAGGAUGACCAGCCACACUGGAACUGAGACACGGUCCAG